AAAAGCUGAAGUGCAAGAAAAAAGCUGAAUUCUCUAGUGCUUUAGAAGAAGAUGUAUCGUCAUUCAGCCAGCUUGAAUCUGCCCCAGAAAACACUUCAGCCAAAUCAGUGGAGUUGACAGCACAAGUACUGCCAUCCAAACAGCCAGAUGCUCUGCAAAUGAGUUCCACCAUGCUGAUCGUGGAGAAUAACAAAGCCCUGCUAAAAAACCCUGGUUAUGCUCAGCCUGUAGAGCUAGAUCCUCCACGUAACAGAGAAGAAAUCUGCUCCAUUGUUAGAACUUCACCAGUUCACAGGUCUUCCAGGCUUCACCAAAUUCCGGUUAACAGAAGUGCGUUCUGCCUUCCCAAACGAGUGCCCGAAGAUACUAUUACAAGUACCAAAAAUUGGGUCUACAAUAAACAUAUAUGAGAUUUUUGGUUUUCAGCAAGAGUCAACAGAAGAAAAAGGGUCUUGCUUCUGUGGCAGGGAGGUGAAAUGAGAACAAUAAGAAGAAUUACUGGCUGAAUUUUUUUGGCUUAUACACUGUCUGAAACAGUAUAAUGCUGUGUAGUAAGCCUGUAAAUGCUUUUCUUGAGCACUUUAAUAUUAAAAUUUUUGUACAAGCAACUAGAUCUCUUUUUGGGCAUUGUUCUAUAAGUACUCCAUAAAGAUGAUUCUUUAGUUAGUUUAUUUUUUUUUUAAAUUGUGACUCAAGGGCAGCAGAAUAGAUUGUGUUGAUGGAAUUACUUUUGGCACUUGCUAUGCCAAGACUUCUAGAUUUCUUUAGUAGUAUAGGCAUUUAAAGAUGUGACCUCUACUUGAGUUAAGUGUUAACAUUGUUCAUAAAGGCAUAAAGUUUCAGGACUAUAUGUCCUGAAAAUGUAAAUGUAAAGCAUUUAUGUGCUCUCAGUGACUCAGAAGUCAGUACAGGAUAUUAAGCUACCAUUAAACUACUUGCAUGCUUAAGUCUGCAGAACUUGGGGAUACAAGACUUUGUGUAUUCUAAUGUAAAUUGAUUGAUAAUCUUGAAGAUAGGUGGUCUUUGCCCUACCAUCAUCCCAGUACAGCUGUCUACUUAUGAUCAGCACUAGCAUCAUAUACAGUGCCCAGUCACUGUCUUCCCAUUUCAUCUCGGUUAUUCUGUAAUCCCACCUAUCUCCACCCAGCUCACCUUCAGCCCAAGUGCGUUCAGUCACCCCCAGAAUCCCUGGUAUUGGGGUAUUUGUUUUGGUUAUCUGUAACUUCUUGUCAUUUCUUGCCUCCUGCUACCUUUAACUUUUUCUUAAAAAACAAAACAAAACAAAAAAACCCAUCAAGUAGAAUGCAUGUCUCACUACAGUAAUAUGAUAUAGCUCUUCAUGCUUUUGGCUUAAGUUUCUAUUAAGUUUACAACCUGCCACUGCACUUUGUAUGUCACAUAUCAAUGGUCCUAAUAAACUCUUUAUUUUCUAGUGCA
Molecule: long non-coding RNA, 1437 nt
Filed under: Apteryx haastii (Great spotted kiwi)
Lineage: Eukaryota; Metazoa; Chordata; Aves; Apterygiformes; Apterygidae
Description: lncRNA (ENSAHAG00000007780.1)
Source: RNAcentral